RNAcentral lists this long non-coding RNA (416 nucleotides) under Salvia miltiorrhiza (redroot sage). RNAcentral's name for it is "long non-coding RNA (SMIL_LNC005770)". Lineage: Eukaryota; Viridiplantae; Streptophyta; Magnoliopsida; Lamiales; Lamiaceae. The record is from RNAcentral.
AAAAGGAACAAAUUACAGCCCUAACAAUACUGCAUUCUAAUUAAGACUUCAAAUGAAAUUAGAGAAAGGCAAACCAUUGAAACUUGACAAGUAAAAAUUGGAAAAUGCAGUGACCGAGGCAUUCACUAAAGAAAGAAAAUCAAAGGCACAACAUUAGAGCAGGAAGUACAAAUAAAUACCUGUGGAACUGACUUCAGCGAGGGGAAGUUAAUCAGCUUUGUGUGCAGCGAGGGAGAUGGUGGCGGAGAAGCUGUGUAUUAGAGAAAGCCCAAAAACCCUCAGAGAGCCGAGGAUUAUUUCGACCGACAAAUAGGCCCCAACAGUGUGGCGAACCAGGCCACUACGGCGUCAUUGGCGCAGGGAUGGAACGGCGGUGUUUUCCCAAACUUCUCCGCGUUCACACACUCCUCACAAUA